Molecule: ribosomal RNA, 101 nt
Filed under: uncultured bacterium
Lineage: Bacteria
Description: partial 16S ribosomal RNA
Rfam family: Bacterial small subunit ribosomal RNA
Source: RNAcentral
UACACACCGCCCGUCACGCCAUGGAAGCUCGGAGCGCCCGAAGUCGGUGCCGGAACCCGCAAGGGGCCAAGCCGCCGAAGGCGAGCCGAGUGACUGGGGCG